Molecule: microRNA precursor, 183 nt
Filed under: Medicago truncatula (barrel medic)
Lineage: Eukaryota; Viridiplantae; Streptophyta; Magnoliopsida; Fabales; Fabaceae
Description: MIR2619 microRNA precursor family
Rfam family: MIR2619 microRNA precursor family
Source: Rfam by way of RNAcentral
AAACCGCCUCCUAAGUUUUGCAACUAUAGCAGUUUUGGCCUCUCAAGAUCAAUUUUUUGUAUAAAAAAAAAUAAAAUAAAUAACCCGUGGCACCUCACUUAGGGUGCCACGUCAACGUAGACUGAGUCAAAAUUGGCCUUGGGGACCAAAACUGCCACAGAUGCAAAACUUAAGGGACGGUUU